AACGCACGAGACCUGCGGACCUGCGGAAGGAUCAUUACCGAGUUCAUGCCCUCACGGGUAGAUCUCCCACCCUUGUGUAUUCUAUGUUUGUGUUGCUUUGGCAGGCCGUGGGCCUCGCCCACCACCGGCUCUCGGGCUGGUGUGCGCCUGCCAGAGGACUCUUUAAACUCUGUUUGUUAGUGUCGUCUGAGUAUGAUAACAAUCGUUAAAACUUUUAACAACGGAUCUCUAGAUCGGAAG
RNAcentral lists this unclassified non-coding RNA (240 nucleotides) under soil metagenome. RNAcentral describes it as "partial contains 5.8S ribosomal RNA, internal transcribed spacer 2, and large subunit ribosomal RNA". The record is from RNAcentral.